AUGCAUUAUUUGCCAUUGAUUCCAAUAAUACAAAGGGAGCUACUCAAAUGAAGAUGCAAAAAACAUCUUUUUAUAAAGAUGCUUUGUAUAAAAGUGUGAUUUAUUAAUUUGGCCACACUUUAAAUAAAAACAACACUUUUAUAACA
Non-coding RNA from Arachis ipaensis, 146 nucleotides. The record is from RefSeq and is a predicted model, not a curated record. Lineage: Eukaryota; Viridiplantae; Streptophyta; Magnoliopsida; Fabales; Fabaceae.